This 1448-nucleotide ribosomal RNA is filed under the name uncultured organism. RNAcentral describes it as "SSU rRNA". It matches the Rfam family "Bacterial small subunit ribosomal RNA". The record is from RNAcentral.
GCUACAGGCUUAACACAUGCAAGUCGAGGGGCAGCAUUUCAGUUUGCUUGCAAACUGGAGAUGGCGACCGGCGCACGGGUGAGUAACACGUAUCCAACCUGCCGAUAACUCGGGGAUAGCCUUUCGAAAGAAAGAUUAAUACCCGAUGGUAUAAUCAGACCGCAUGGUCUUGUUAUUAAAGAAUUUCGGUUAUCGAUGGGGAUGCGUUCCAUUAGGCAGUUGGUGAGGUAACGGCUCACCAAACCUUCGAUGGAUAGGGGUUCUGAGAGGAAGGUCCCCCACAUUGGAACUGAGACACGGUCCAAACUCCUACGGGAGGCAGCAGUGAGGAAUAUUGGUCAAUGGGCGCAGGCCUGAACCAGCCAAGUAGCGUGAAGGAUGACUGCCCUAUGGGUUGUAAACUUCUUUUAUAUGGGAAUAAAGUUUUCCACGUGUGGAAUUUUGUAUGUACCAUAUGAAUAAGGAUCGGCUAACUCCGUGCCAGCAGCCGCGGUAAUACGGAGGAUCCGAGCGUUAUCCGGAUUUAUUGGGUUUAAAGGGAGCGUAGGUGGACAGUUAAGUCAGUUGUGAAAGUUUGCGGCUCAACCGUAAAAUUGCAGUUGAUACUGGCUGUCUUGAGUACAGUAGAGGUGGGCGGAAUUCGUGGUGUAGCGGUGAAAUGCUUAGAUAUCACGAAGAACUCCGAUUGCGAAGGCAGCUCACUGGACUGCAACUGACACUGAUGCUCGAAAGUGUGGGUAUCAAACAGGAUUAGAUACCCUGGUAGUCCACACAGUAAACGAUGAAUACUCGCUGUUUGCGAUAUACAGUAAGCGGCCAAGCGAAAGCAUUAAGUAUUCCACCUGGGGAGUACGCCGGCAACGGUGAAACUCAAAGGAAUUGACGGGGGCCCGCACAAGCGGAGGAACAUGUGGUUUAAUUCGAUGAUACGCGAGGAACCUUACCCGGGCUUAAAUUGCAUUUGAAUAUAUUGGAAACAGUAUAGCCGUAAGGCAAAUGUGAAGGUGCUGCAUGGUUGUCGUCAGCUCGUGCCGUGAGGUGUCGGCUUAAGUGCCAUAACGAGCGCAACCCUUAUCUUUAGUUACUAACAGGUCAUGCUGAGGACUCUAGAGAGACUGCCGUCGUAAGAUGUGAGGAAGGUGGGGAUGACGUCAAAUCAGCACGGCCCUUACGUCCGGGGCUACACACGUGUUACAAUGGGGGGUACAGAAGGCAGCUACCUGGUGACAGGAUGCUAAUCCCAAAAGCCUCUCUCAGUUCGGAUCGAAGUCUGCAACCCGACUUCGUGAAGCUGGAUUCGCUAGUAAUCGCGCAUCAGCCAUGGCGCGGUGAAUACGUUCCCGGGCCUUGUACACACCGCCCGUCAAGCCAUGAAAGCCGGGGGUACCUGAAGUACGUAACCGCAAGGAGCGUCCUAGGGUAAAACUGGUAAUUGGGGCUAAGUCAUA